Non-coding RNA from Sesamum indicum (sesame), 367 nucleotides. Lineage: Eukaryota; Viridiplantae; Streptophyta; Magnoliopsida; Lamiales; Pedaliaceae. The record is from RefSeq and is a predicted model, not a curated record.
CAAGCUAUAUGAAUAUAAGACAUUGCUUAAUUUUGUGUUUACUUUGAUGUUUCUCCAGUAAUUAGUUGUGAGGGCAGUCUCUCUUGCCAUUGCUCGGGGUGGUGCCAGUGGUGGUGUUGUUCGGACAGUGACUAUCAACAAAGAUGGCGUUACUAGAAAGUUCUAUCCCGGGGACACCCUCCCUCUAUGGCAUGAAGAAAUGGAACCCCAGAAUUCACUGUUGGAUACUUUAUCAGCUGCAAGUCCUGAACCAAUGGCUAUUGUGUAUUUCUGGGAGCUACUCCAAUUUCAUGGAAGACCAAAAAGAAGACUGCAGUUGCUAGAUCGUCAGCGGAGGCUGAGUAUAGAAGCAUGGCAGCUGCAGUCU